UGUUGUUGGAGAAUCGACUGACAAUGACGACGAUGACUCGGAAGGCACCUGACAUUACCUGGGGACAGCUAAAGAAACUGGACCGACAGGCAACUAUCCGGCUUGCCGCCAUGGAAGCCCCUGCAACUGCAGAGGAUCGGUUUCUUUUGUAUCUGGUGGUAAUUGGGGGAACUUCUGAAAAAGUAAGACAGACAUGGAUGUUGGGGUGGUUGGCAUCUGCAGAUGGCUCUGUGCUGCCCCCCGGCGCAUCUAUGACCAGGGAAGAACGAUAGAACUUUACCUUGCAUUGGAUGACCAGCACGCUCUAAGAAUUGAAGAAGGGGGAGUUGUGGCGGGUGCACGUCAACAUAUAGAAGCUUAUGUGCAUGGCAUUUGAAGUCGGGGCAUGGAAAAAUACUGAGGCACUGUGUGUAUGUUAUUUGUGCAUAAGAAUGUAACUCCUUGACCCUGAAAACAGGACAAGGAGUGGAGUGUGUGAUAAGGAACGCUGAAAACAGCCUCCUGAGAAUGUGGUUUGAGGGCUUUUACAAG
Rhinopithecus roxellana (golden snub-nosed monkey) is the source of this 531-nucleotide long non-coding RNA. RefSeq lists it as uncharacterized. Lineage: Eukaryota; Metazoa; Chordata; Mammalia; Primates; Cercopithecidae. The transcript has 2 exons. The record is from RefSeq and is a predicted model, not a curated record.